Molecule: ribosomal RNA, 347 nt
Filed under: uncultured bacterium
Lineage: Bacteria
Description: bacterial SSU rRNA
Rfam family: Bacterial small subunit ribosomal RNA
Source: RNAcentral
AAUACCGCAUAUUCUGUGAGCAGGAAAGAGGGGGAUCGCAAGACCUCUUGCUUUAGGAGCGGCCGAUGUCGGAUUAGCUAGUUGGUGAGGUAAAGGCUCACCAAGGCGACGAUCCGUAGCGGGUCUGAGAGGAUGAUCCGCCACACUGGGACUGAGACACGGCCCAGACUCCUACGGGAGGCAGCAGUGGGGAAUUUUGGACAAUGGGCGCAAGCCUGAUCCAGCCAUGCCGCGUGAGUGAAGAAGGUCUUCGGGUUGUAAAGCUCUUUCGGUGGGGAAGAAAUUGCUUCGGUUAAUACCUGGAGUAGAUGACGGUACCCGCAUAAGAAGCACCGGCUAACUACGUG